RNA transcript from Alligator mississippiensis (American alligator), 7118 nucleotides. It is a transcript of the gene named KH RNA binding domain containing, signal transduction associated 2, with no coding region annotated. The transcript has 14 exons. NCBI's taxonomy places the organism in Eukaryota, Metazoa, Chordata, Crocodylia, Alligatoridae. The record is from RefSeq and is a predicted model, not a curated record.
GGCGGUGCAUGGGGCAGUGAGGGGCCCGGGCCCGCGCGCUCCCUGCCGAGGGGACUCCGCGCCCGGCACCAGCCUCCGCCCGCGGAGCAGCCCCCGGAGCCCGGUCCGAAGUGCGGCGCGGCGGCGGCGGCAGCGGCGGGGCUAUGGAGCAGGAGAAAUAUCUGCCCGAGCUGAUGGCAGAGAAAGACAGCCUGGAUCCGUCCUUUGUUCACGCCAUGCGCCUCCUGGCUGAAGAAAUUGAAAAAUUUCAGAGUUCUGACGGGAAAAAGGAAGAUGAAGAGAAGAAAUACCUCGAUGUCAUCAGCAACAAAAACAUAAAGCUGUCAGAGAGAGUACUGAUCCCUGUCAAACAAUAUCCAAAGUUCAAUUUUGUUGGGAAAUUGCUUGGACCGCGAGGAAACUCCUUGAAGAGGUUGCAGGAAGAGACGGGUGCAAAAAUGUCUAUCCUGGGCAAAGGCUCUAUGAGGGACAAAGCUAAGGAAGAAGAGCUAAGGAAAAGUGGGGAAGCCAAGUAUGCACAUUUGAGUGAUGAGCUUCAUGUAUUAAUUGAAGUGUUUGCUCCACCUGGGGAAGCUUAUUCACGUAUGAGUCAUGCCUUGGAAGAAAUUAAAAAAUUCCUAGUUCCAGACUACAAUGAUGAAAUUCGUCAGGAACAAUUGAGAGAACUGUCAUAUUUGAAUGGUUCUGAAGAUUCGGCACGUGGACGGGGAAUUCGAGGAAGAGGAAUCCGUGUAGCACCUACAGCUUCUUCAAGGGGACGUGGAGGUGCAAUUCCUCCUCCCCCACCUGGACGAGGUGCCCAAGCACCUAGAGGGACACCAGUGACACGUGGAGCACUACCUGUGCCUCCUGUAGCCAGGGGUGUUCCUACCCCUCGAGCAAGGGGAGCUCCAGCUGUGCCAGGCUACAGACCACCCCCUCCUCCAGCACAUGAGGCCUAUGAAGAAUAUGGAUAUGAUGAUGGAUAUGGGGGUGAAUAUGAUGAUCCAAGCUAUGAGGCAUAUGAUAACAGUUAUGCCACCCAAACACAGAGUGUGCCUGAAUAUUAUGACUAUGGUCAUGGAACAAGUGAAGACGCUUAUGACAGCUACGCACAAGAAGAAUGGGCCACAACCCGUUCCAGCCUAAAGGCACCACCUCCAAGGUCAGCCAGAGGGGGUUACAGGGAACACCCCUAUGGUAGAUAUUGAAGGUCCUCCUCAUCUGUGACCUCAUCUCAAAGACAAUUAAUAGCCUGUGGUCUCCACAUAAACAGCAAUGAGACAAGGACUCACAGGCAAUGGACAACUAAGCAGCAGAUGAGAUGAGGAGUGUUUAGGUCUGAUCAGCAAUUUCAAGUCAGCUAAACUGAAGUUACACUGACCAUCUGUCUUACAGGUACAGAGCACUUCAUUAUGUGCACGAACAGAAAUGCUUAAACGGAUGAAGCAGCUAUUUGCGUCUGAUAGGAGCUAAGUGGGACAUUAAAUUAAUGCCAAACAAGUUCAGCAUCCUAAAGACUAAUCCAGAGGACAUUGAAAUCAGUGGGGAGCCUGUCAUUGACUUUGUUAGUUUUGGCUACUACUGAAUAUCGUGCAGUUAAGAUGCAGCUGAGAUCAGACUGAAUCACAAGUUGGUAAACAUUAAGAAUUAUUGCAAGAUUUGCCUUAAAUGUUCAAACGUAGGAAACCUAAUCCACUUAAGAAAACAAAUAAGACUAGGUAUGUGAGUAGUUUUAUUAAAGUCAAUGUGACCACUUAAUGUAUUUAGCUGAAUCCAGGCCUAAAGUUUUAAUUUUUUUUCACAGCCCUGAACUUACUGUCCUACCUUGCUACUGUCCCCAUUAGCUCUACAGGCAGGAAAUCAGACAGUUUUCUGUAGGAAAUGUACCAGUGUUUUAUCAAGAGUUCACUGUAACUUAUAUAUUUCCGUGAAACGUGUUGGUUUCCACAAAUCUUCGCUUUCCAACAAAAACCUCUUCUUUCAGAAAAUUCCUAACCAGAUUCAGUUACACAGAUAUCAGCCAAGCAGGUUUGGUUAAAAGAAUCAAAUUAAUCCUUUAGAGCAAAUUGUAAAUAAAAAAAAAUUUAAAACAAAACAAGUCGGUAUGAACAUGAACAUCGAUGCAUGGACUGUUCACAUUUUUUUCACACACUCUCAUUUUCACUGUGUGUCAGUACAGAAACAUGGAGUCCAGGAACCUUAAGAUUCCAUGUCAUGUAGAAAAAAAGGAACAUUUUUAAAAGUAACUCACACUGCUAUCCAGUGCAGCAUAUCUCUGUCAUGUUAUUUUCAAAGGAUAAAAAUCAUUAUUUUAGCCUGUGCAAAUAUAAUUUUCUCUUUCAUUUCUGUCCUCUUCCAAGCAAUCCAAAAUCCUAGGCAGCAUGAAAAAUACUCUGACCCAUAGCAGCAACAAUAACCUAUUUCCCUUUCAAAAUAUACUGAUAGAGCACUUUUAUGUGAUGACAUUUUAACCUGCGAAUAAAGCAAAAUGGUUACUGCUGUCAUUAAAUAAUGAACUGUGUAAAUUUCAGCUGUUGGGCAUGAAUUCAGUGCCUUCAAGAGUGAAAAGAGAUAUUUCCAAUGGUUAUGAUUUUUGAUGUUCAUACUCUGAAAUAAUCCAUACAAUAGUAUGUUCUGGGUAAAUCUAAUUUUUUUGCACCCUUACUCAUACCUAAAAGGUCUCAGGAAAUAAUAACAGUCUAUUUUAUUAUGACUUCAACCUUGAGGCUAGAAUUGGCUUCGUACAGUGCUAUAGUGUAGUAGUGCAUUUUAUCCUCAGUUUUAUUAUUUUACUUCCAAAUAUUUCAUGUGUUUCCUGACAGUUCAUGUUAAGUUACUCUAUUCCCACUGAACUGGAAAAAAAUCUGAAGUUGUUAUACAGAGAUAUCUCUCUAAAGGUAAUGUAAAAGCAGAUAGCAGUGUGUGUGUGUGUGUGUGUGUGUGUGUGUGUGCGUGCGCAUGUGUGCAAGCGUGCACAUCUGGUUGGGUGGGUUCUAGGAAAUGGAAAACAGAAUACACAUGCAUGAAAAAGUCUUAUUCUUCUGAAUAUUUAAGUUAUGUCUUGCAGAGGUAAAGAGUAUUCACACGUCCAGUUAAAUUCUAUGGGAAUACCUAUGCAACUGAAAGCAGGGCCUUUAAUAUUUUUUUCAUUGAUAUUCUCGGGGCCAGAUUCAGGCAAUCCACAACAAAGUCCCCAUAUUGAAUAACUCCACCUGCAUAUGCUCGUGCCAUUUGCCAAUGCCCAAUUUAAGUGGAAGGUGGCAGGACUCACCAUUCUUUAAUGAAAACCAAGGGUGUUGCAAAAGUCCUUGCUAAGGUCACUUUGGAGAGGCCAGGUUAUACCUAGGGACCUACCUAAAUCACAAUUUCACAGAUUUCAUGGAAACCAGGAAAAACAGCAUUGUCCACACUUUCCUGCGAAAUCAAAAAAAGGGAGUAGUAAUGUAGACUGAAUGAAGGCACCCUCUGCCAAUCAGUGGCAAGAGGCAGGGCUGCUGGGGUCACUCCACCAAUCAUUGGUGAGGGACAUGUCUGCCAUGAAAUUCCUGUGAAAUUGGCUUUGUGUGCCGUGAAUGGGCCAUGAGAAACCCUGUGACUUAGGUGGGUCCCUAGUUAUACCUACUUCCUGCAUUUACUCUACGUACAGAACCCUGCUUUCCAUCAGUCCAUUCAUAGCGUCUGAUGAAGUAGGCUGUCACCUGUAAAGGUUAAGCCUCUCUGAACUAGGUAGUCUCUAAGGUGCCAACCUGCUUUGCUUUCUGCCUGACUCUAGACUAACAAGAGCUAACUGUCUAGAAACAGGGUGCAUUUACACACACAAUUAGCAUGUGACAAUAAACUCCAGCACAGUUUGCACUGGAGUUCAUUGCUCCUGGUUGCAGCAUUUACACAUGUGCUGGGGACCACAGCAUGUUGAGCUGGGGCACAGCAUCCCUGGCUGGCAGAGGCCUGGGUGGUCAGUAUGCCAGCCCAGAGCUGUUCCACCCAGCUCAACGUGCUGUGGAGGAACUGGCUUGGACACAAAGGUGGUUCGGUGUGGAGCUGGCAGGAAUCCCCUACACUAUAGCAUCCUCAUGCCCCAGCCAGCCCCAGUCAUCAUCUACAUUACAAUCCAUUCAUCUAGCCCACACUUUCUUAGCUUGCCUGUGAGAAUGUCGUGGGAGACCAUAUCAAAAGCCUUGCUAAAAUCAAGGUACAACACAUGCACCAGUCUCCCCGCAUCCACAGAGUCAGUCACCUCAUCGUAGAAGGCAUAUUGGUCAAGCUUGACUUGCCCUUGUGAACCCCUGCUGACUGUUUCUAACCAUGUUUUUCUCCUCCAAAUGUUUCAUAGUGGAUUCCUUGAGGAUGUGCUCCAUGAUUUUUCCAGGGACUGAAGUAAGGCUGACUAGUCUGUAGUUCCUUGAAACCUGCUUUUUCACUUUCUUAAAUAUGGGCACUGUGUUUGCCCUUUCCUAAUCAUCUGGGACCUCUCCUCAUCACAAUGAGUUUUCAAAGAUGAUGGCUAGUGAUUCUGCAAUCACAUCAGCCAACUCCCUCAGCACCCUUGGGUGCAUCCCAUCCAGCCCCAUGGACUUGUACAUGUCCAGCUUUUCUAAAUAGUCCCUAGCCUGUUCUUUCACUAAUGAGGGCUUCUUAUCUCCUCCCCAAACUGUGCUGCCCAAUGCAGUAGUCUGGGAGCUGACUUUGUGAAGACUGAAGUGAAAAAGUCAUUAAGGACUUCAGCCUUUUAUGCAUCCUCUGUCACAAGGUUGCCUCCCCCAUUUAGUAACGGACCCACACUUUCCCUGAUCCUCCUCUUGCUACCGACAUACUUAUAGAAACCUUCUUGUUCCCCUUCACAUCCCUUGCUAGUUGCAACUCCAGUUGCACUUUGGCCUUCCUGACUUCAUCCCUACAUGCCUAAGCAGUACUCUUAUACUCCUCCCUGGUUAUUUGUCCAAGUUUCCACUUCUUAUAAGCUUCCUUUUUUGUGACUUAGUUUACUGAAGAUUUCCUGCUAAGCCACGCUGGUCCACCACCAUACUUGCUAGUCUUCCUGCACAUCAGGGUGGUUUGUUCCUGCAUUCUCAGUAAGGCUUCUUUGAAGUACAGUCUGCUCUCCUGGACUCCUUUCCCCCUCCACUCCCCAAAAAGUUCCUGGAUUGCCUGCACACUGGUAUAUUGCCCUCCCAGCAAAUGUCAGGGCGAUUGAAGUCCCCCUUGAGAACCAGGGCCUGUGAUUGGGAAACUUCGGCUAACUGUUUGAAGAAAGCCUCAUUCAUCACUUCCUCCUUGUCUGGUGGUCUAUAACAGACCCCCACCAUGACAUCGCCCUUCUUGCUCUCCCCUCUGUCCCUAACCCAGACACUCUCAACAGGCCUAUCUCCAGCAUACUGGAGCUUUGAAUAAUCAUAUGGCUCUUUUACAUAAAGUACAACUCCUCUUCUCACCUGCCUAUCCUUCCUGAACAGUUUGUACCCAUCCAUGACAAUGCUCCAGUCAUGCGAGCUCCCACCAAGUCUCUGUUAUUCCAGUCGCCUCAUAGUGCCAUGACUAUGCAAGGACUUCCAAUUCUUCCUGCUUGUUUCCCAGGGUCUGUGCAUUUGUGUACAUUCCUAAAAUACAUUUAGGAAGUCUUUUAAGGAUUAUCAGCUUUCAUUUUUAUUUGCUGCAAACUGUGAAUAUUAAAUACAGCUGCAUUUAUGAGGUGAAGGCAAUAUACAGAAUAAAGAAUCUGAUUGGAUACAUUAAUCUACCCGGUAAUUUAAAGUCAUCCAAGCCUAUUUAGCCAUCAUUGUAUAACCUAACUAGUUAUACAUACAUACAUAUCACUUUGACAGUGUAGCUACAUUAAAUGAUAACCUGCAGGUACUGAAAGGCUCAACUUUUUUAAAUUUAUGGCACUGGCAAUGUAUUGCUUCAUUGCUUAGGAAAACCAAAGGAAAUUUGCAUAGAAUAAAACUAUCUACUAGACUAUAGUGACUAGAGAAUAGUAAUUUCUUUGGAGAGAAACAAUAAGUGAUAUUUAGAAAAUCAGUUCUGAAGAAACCAGCCUGACAUUUAUCAUCAAAUAACAAAAAAAAAAAGAUAUGGAAAAGACUUGUUUAGGCAUCUUAAGUGUAGUAGUGUAAUAUUAGAUAGUCCCUCACAGAACAUACUCUCCAGUGUUUUGUCAAUGUGCAUUUUAAAUGUAUCAAGGAGAGAGUCUUUGCUAUUAUACUUUUAGAAAAAUGACAAAUCCUUGCUGAGUGCACAGGAUCUUUUCAAAAUGUAUUAGAGUUAACAAAAAUAGUGAAAAUUCACCAGCCUUUUUCUUUCCAGUUAAAUUCAGGAGUUAUGUAUUUUCUAGGUAAAAGAAGUUUUAGACAUACAACAUCUAAAAGCUAAGUAGGUACUAUUAUGCUUUUCCUCUCCUUUCCUUAAUCCAUCUGUUGGUAUUUGUUUUUCUUCUCUGCUCCUUUUUCAUAGUGCCUCAUAAGUAGAAUGCAAAGCCAAAAAGAGCUUAAGUUUGAGUGGGUUUAAAAUUAGUCAAAAUGAGCAUGGCAAAAUGAUGGUUGUUUAUAGAAUGUGUGCGUGUAACUCCCCACAUAGGAUUUUGAAGAUAUGCUACCUCGUUCUGAUUAGAGGAAGAACCAUAUGGCUCUCUUAUAUGACUGGCUGGUUUAGAGUGGUUCAGAACAAAAUGUUUGUGAACUUUAAGCAGGCUCAGGUUAGUCAUCUAGAUAGACACAAAAGUAGCAGUGAAGAUGCAUAUGACUGCAGAAUUACAAUCUUUCCUACUUACUGUCCUUUUAGGAAAUGCAUAAGGAAGAUUCCAAUGGAUCAAAAAACAAACUUUUUUUCAUAAAAUAAAAAUAUAUGUAACCAUUCCUGGAUACAUUAAGAAGUUUUCCUUAUCAUUCAAGAGAAAAAAUGAGGUUAGUGUAAUCAAGAAAAAAAUGUAAUGACCAGCAUAUCAAAUCACAACCUUGGGAAACGGUCAAAAUUGGAUAUGUUACAUCCUUAUUAUCCUCAAUAUCCUGGCUACAUUUUUUCCAUGAAAAAGUUUGAAAACAGGAACUGAAAACUGCAAAAUUAUGUUUUUGUCUCAUGACAAGGAUUGUAACAAAAUUAUGAAAUUAUUAUUAUACCAAAUAAAUAUUUUUCUGUUAUAA